UACCAGAAGGACCACUGUGAGUUCUCACUGCUGCUCUUUGCUGUUACUCGGGUAGUAUUAGCAGGGUUAGUCAGUGUCAUGAAAAUACCUUAUUUCAUUCAUUAGUUGCAAUUUUUUAGAGCUCAGAUGGAGCAUACAUACAUGUGUGUGUGUGUGUGUGUGUGUGUGUGUGUGUGUGUGUGUGUGUGUGUGUGUGUAUUUAUGUGUUCGUUUACAUACAUAAGCACACUUUUUUUUUUUUUUUAAGAAAACUUGAUAGCUCUGUGAACUUGAUGCUCUGUGAUGCCCUUUUGUUCUGGGCAGAUUCUGAGGCUGUUUUAUGAUUUCUUUCAUUUCUUUGUUCUUUUUUAUCAGUGGAGUUUCCUUGUCCUUGCCAAUUCUGUUGUUAGUCAUUUCACUACAACUUGAGGUAUUUCUUUUCCCUCUCUCCAUUCUUUCCUUCGUCUUUUUCCCUUUCACUCUUUUAGGUGAUAAUUUAUAGAGUAUUCAUGCUAAGUUUGGUUCCCCUUCCCCUCUUGAUCUAAGAAUGAAUUCUUGUUGAAAUUUGAACAACCUCAUUCAUUGUAUCAUGGAUAUUUUCUGGUGUGUUUUUCAAAGAAGUCAAUUCUAGCUCGGCCAUUGCUAAUCAUAAAGUCUUGUCCUUGAUCAGUCAUUAAAUAAUCAGUUUGACCAUUCAAACUAAUGACCUCAGCCUUCCUGUCUUCACACAGACAUGCUUUCUGUGUGGACCAACUUGUAUAAAGAAAACAUCUAACUAUGUGGUUAUUUUUUUCUUUUGUUUCAUUCUAAUCAAGAUUGUAGGACAAGUUCAGAUUUGGUCUAAGCAUCAACUGAUCUCUUCUGUUCAGAGAAUUGCAGGAUUUUAGAAUUCUGAGCAAGAUCAAGCAAAAAAAGAAAAAAAAGGAAAGAAAAAAAAGUUAAUGUGAAGCUGAAGCCAGCCUCAGCUUUCUUUCCCUGGACGGGUUGUUGAAAGACAGAUCGCUGUUCCCACCCCCAGGGUGGCCACCACAGCUGUCCAGGGAGCGCACUUUGAAGACUGCUGGUCUAGAGAAAGUUGGAGGUUUUUCAUUGCUUUACUCUUGGGUCAUUUUAAUCAUUCUGACACAAAGAAGUGACCCAUUCGUGGACAAAGCUCUCUCUACCUUUGGGGUCUCUGCCGUUUCUCCUCAUUAGGGUGCAGGGGCGCUUUCAUUUCUAGGGUGAGUUUGUGGUUAGGGACGCAGCUGCCUGGCUGUCGUCUGGAAGCUGUGCAUUUGUGGGAUAUGCCUAGUCCCUCCACUUGGAGACAGGAUUGUGGAAAGAAGCCAUUGGUUGCCCCGAAGAGUGCGUUUGCACUUACUGAGGCUCUUAGUGCAGGAGUCCCUGUCCUAGAGUGGCAGUGACAUGGAGCAUCAGAAACAUUGGAUAGUCUUCAAAUAAUGGAGUCUAUAGCUUUCAAUCUUUUUCUUCUUCUUUGAUAUGCGUGUUGGGGGUGAGGGCAAAGAAUUUCCUUUCAUAUUGUAUGUUUCUCAGGUUAACAAAGUUAUUUUGGGUUCUCUGCCAUGCCAGCAGGUGUUAGGGAGAGCAUGAGUGUUGUAUGUGGCAGAAAAGAAGCAGUUGUUUCCAAUUCCCUUACUACCUUGAAGAACUCUGUAUGUUUGCAGAAGAGUUGAGGGGAACACACCACCUCCACAGCAUGAGUGACUCCUAAGUCAUAGCAGACACAGAUGAGCAAGUUAUUUUUGAGAAACUGCCUACAACAGAAUAAACCUGACAGGUCUAUGGAUAGUUUUACAUGUGUGUGUUGUGUUUAAUGUUCAGCCUGGGCUGCAGUUCUGCAGGUGUUGGGCUCUGCUUCUCAUUUUUAGUUUGGCUUUGAAUUUACUGAUACUAGCAAGAAAACCAAUCUAUGUUUAAGGUAAUAGAAUGUAGAGUGGCGUAGGCGUAGAAGUAUAAUCCACAGUGGCCAUCCUAGAAUGCACAGUUUUAGAAUUCUUAGCCCCCAGUACUUACUACAUGAAAGGCCCCAGAAGCUUUAGCUGUGCAUUGCUGGUGUGUCCAGCACAGCUAUCUCUAUGCACCCCCAGCUUCUAAGGGACUUUGGUUUAUUUGCGAUUUGCCUUGCAUGAUACCACUCUGUAUCUUUUGGGAGGUCAGAGGACUCUUUUGUCCAGGUUAAAGUUCCAAAGUGUCAGUUAUACUUGAGACUGUUUCUCAGCAACACCUUUCCCACACAUUCAUAUGAAGCGUCCUGGAUUUUCAUGUACCAGGACCACACCUGCUCCUAUAAAUCCGUGUAUAUGACAUUCUGUACGUCAAGUACUGUAUCUUGUUUCCGUGUCAGCCACCUGACCUGAUUCUCUGAAACCCAUAAAGGUACUGGUUAUAUGUACUAGUUGCAGGGGAAUAGAUGGUUCAAAUACUUUCUCUAAAUUAUAAAGCUAAUGGGGUUUGCAUUAUAGUAAAGGUCCUAAUUGUUAAUGACACAGGCUCUUUUUAAUGUUUUAAAAAAUAAAAUUCUCUAAAUGUGGUCAGCGGUGGAUAGGAACUGCCACAUAGUAGACUCAUUGUGGGUCUUGUAUGGGAAACCUUCACAAGGGAGGGCAUAUAAAACCACCCUGGUCCGUUUAUCUUACAAGCACCACUUAUUUGCAUCUAAUUAAGCAUCAUCUAUGGCAAAAGUAAUAACAAUGACUGUGUUCCUCUGCAGUUUAUCAUACCUCAUCUGGGAGGCCCUAAUACCUAAAGAGUUUAUUCUUCAAAGUAAAGAUGAUUUUGUAUCAUAAGAUAACCCCAGAGCUACCCUCCAAGGCUUUUCUUUUCUCCUUUCUUCGUCCUUCCUAACUUGGUUUUGGGGUCCCCUUAGCUCAUGCUACUUCCUUAGGACAUGUUUUGAGUCCGGGAGUCUACAGUGUGAUCAUUGUCAGUGAAGUUCUUUUGUUUUAAAAGAUUCAUGGUAACACAAAAUGUAUUUUACUGCUACAACUAAAAUGUAUUUAUAAUAAAAU
Molecule: long non-coding RNA, 2987 nt
Filed under: Cricetulus griseus (Chinese hamster)
Lineage: Eukaryota; Metazoa; Chordata; Mammalia; Rodentia; Cricetidae
Description: lncRNA (ENSCGRG00015039887.1)
Source: RNAcentral